GCUGGGCAUGGUGGUGCAUGCCUGUAAUCCCAGCUACUCGGGAGGCUGAGGCAGGAGAAUUGCUUGAACCAGGGAGUCGGAGGUUGCAGUGAGCUGAGAUCACGCCACUGCACUCCAGCCUGGUGACAGAGCGAGACUCUGUCUCAA
This 147-nucleotide small RNA is filed under the name Pongo abelii (Sumatran orangutan). RNAcentral describes it as "Metazoan signal recognition particle RNA (ENSPPYG00000030073.1)". The record is from Rfam by way of RNAcentral. Lineage: Eukaryota; Metazoa; Chordata; Mammalia; Primates; Hominidae.